RNAcentral lists this ribosomal RNA (253 nucleotides) under uncultured bacterium. RNAcentral describes it as "partial 16S ribosomal RNA". It matches the Rfam family "Bacterial small subunit ribosomal RNA", at positions 524 to 776 of the family's 1533-position model. The record is from RNAcentral.
UACGGGGGGGGCAAGCGUUGUUCGGAAUUACUGGGCGUAAAGGGCUCGUAGGCGGCCAACUAAGUCAGACGUGAAAUCCCUGGGCUCAACCCAGGAACUGCAUCGGAAACUGGCGGACUUGAGUUCGGGAGAGGGUCGCGGAAUUCCUGGUGUAGAGGUGAAAUUCGUAGAUAUCAGGAGGAACACCGGUGGCGAAGGCGGCGACCUGGACCGAUACUGACGCUGAGACGCGAAAGCGUGGGGAGCAAACAGG